Molecule: ribosomal RNA, 209 nt
Filed under: uncultured Enterobacterales bacterium
Lineage: Bacteria; Pseudomonadati; Pseudomonadota; Gammaproteobacteria; Enterobacterales
Description: partial 16S ribosomal RNA
Rfam family: Bacterial small subunit ribosomal RNA
Source: RNAcentral
AACUAGCAUGAUGGAGGGGGAUAACUACUGGAAACGGUAGCUAAUACCGCAUAACGUCGCAAGACCAAAGAGGGGGACCUUCGGGCCUCUUGCCAUCAGAUGUGCCCAGAUGGGAUUAGCUAGUAGGUGGGGUAACGGCUCACCUAGGCGACGAUCCCUAGCUGGUCUGAGAGGAUGACCAGCCACACUGGAACUGAGACACGGUCCAG